CGGCUGGGCAUGCGGCGCAUUAGCUUGACGGCGGGGUAACGGCCCACCGUGGCGACGAUGCGUAGGGGUUCUGAGAGGAAGGCCCCCCACACUGGAACUGAGACACGGUCCAGACUCCUACGGGAGGUAGCAGUGAGGAAUAUUGGUCAAUGGGCGGAAGCCUGAACCAGCCAAGUCGCGUGAGGGAAUAAGGCCCUACGGGUCGUAAACCUCUCUUGCCGGGGAGCAAGGGCCGGGACGAGUCCCGGCCCGGAGAGUACCCGGAGAAUAAGCAUCGGCUAACUCCGUGCCAGCAGCCGCGGUAAUACGGAGGAUGCGAGCGUUAUCCGGAUUUAUUGGGUUUAAAGGGUGCGUAGGCGGGCUUUUAAGUCAGCGGUAAAAAUUCGGGGCUCAACCC
RNAcentral lists this ribosomal RNA (397 nucleotides) under uncultured bacterium. RNAcentral's name for it is "bacterial SSU rRNA". It matches the Rfam family "Bacterial small subunit ribosomal RNA", at positions 222 to 615 of the family's 1533-position model. The record is from RNAcentral.